This 447-nucleotide unclassified non-coding RNA is filed under the name Buddleja elegans subsp. angustata. Its description in RNAcentral is "partial external transcribed spacer". The record is from RNAcentral. Lineage: Eukaryota; Viridiplantae; Streptophyta; Magnoliopsida; Lamiales; Scrophulariaceae.
GUAGGCGUGUAUUGGCAUGUUGGAUCCCUGCUUGGGCAGCGACGACAUACCAGGCAAGCCUCUUCAUUCCUCGGCUCAAGUGCUUGUUUGCCUUGGCCGGCGUCCGCUGUCUUGUGUUGAAUACCCACGACGAGGGAACACGGUUGGCUAAACACGUCCCGAUUCCGCCUUGUGCUGCGCCCCUCGGGGCCGCGGCGCGGGGUGGACCUCAAAGCAUUCUCCGUGCGCCACCUCCCRCGCAAGUGCCUCCGCACGUGCUCGGGUCGUUGGCUCGUGGAGUCUCGCUCGAUCUCUCGGAUGCGGAACAGUGAGUGGGCACGAGGCCCCCGGCCUCUAUUUGCCCCGAAAACAAGCGUUCGGCGCUUCGUGCGAACGACUGUCGUUUUCGUUUUGAUCGGGUCCUCGCGGCUCGGCUCAUGCGAAACCGGCGUCGAUGAGGAAUGCUAC